This 747-nucleotide small RNA is filed under the name Pan troglodytes (chimpanzee). RNAcentral's name for it is "processed transcript". Lineage: Eukaryota; Metazoa; Chordata; Mammalia; Primates; Hominidae. The record is from RNAcentral.
CAGAUGCCUUAUGGGGACAUCCUUCUCCACACAGGCGAUUUCACCGAGCUGGGACUGCCCUCAGAGGUUAAGAAGUUUAAUGACUGGUUAGGAAACCUGCCAUAUGAAUAUAAAAUAGUGAUUGCUGGGAAUCAUGAACUGACAUUUGAUAAGGAAUUCAUGGCAGACCUUGUUAAACAGGACUACUACCGUUUCCCCUCUGUGUCCAAAUUGAAACCAGAGGACUUUGACAAUGUUCAGUCCCUCCUGACAAACAGUAUUUACUUACAAGAUUCGGAGGUAACAGUGAAGGGAUUCAGGAUAUACGGUGCACCUUGUGACCACAAGUGAAGUUGAGGUGGCUUUGGGCAGCAUUAAGUGAACAAAAAGGGCAAAAUGAGAAGAGGCAGGAAAUGGGAAUCGUUUUACGGCUCCCUCCUACUUCCCACAUUCCUUUGAGGCCGAAUUAAUUGGUGUGAUUCCAUUCUCAAUUUAAGAAAUCAAGGUUAAAUGACUUGCCCACAAUUGUAUUGAGCUGGAACUAGGGCAUAGGUCUGCUGUCUCCAGAUCUCCAGCUGACUUCCCACCGCAGCCUGUCAGUCAGUGAAAUUAAUCUGCAGUCAUUCGCAGACACCUGAAAAUGUCCCCUCCCACCCCUCAAAUUGCAUAAUAAUGAGUCCUACAGCAGAAAACAGUUGUAUUCUUUCAAAAGUUUCUCUAAUGUUUUUGAAAUACACAAGGAAAUAGUACAAGUUAAGUGGACAUUUG